This 393-nucleotide ribosomal RNA is filed under the name uncultured bacterium. RNAcentral's name for it is "partial 16S ribosomal RNA". It matches the Rfam family "Bacterial small subunit ribosomal RNA", at positions 523 to 918 of the family's 1533-position model. The record is from RNAcentral.
GUACGGAGGAUGCAAGCGUUAUCCGGAUUUAUUGGGUUUAAAGGGUGCGCAGGCGGUUUGCUAAGCGGGAGGUGAAAUGCCGGCGCUCAACGUCGGAAGUGCCUACCGAACUGGGGGACUUGAAUGACUCUGCCGUGGGAGGAAUGUGUAGUGUAGCGGUGAAAUGCUUAGAGAUUACACAGAACACCGAUUGCGAAGGCAUCUCACGAAGGGUUGAUUGACGCUGAGGCACGAAAGCGUGGGGAUCAAACAGGAUUAGAUACCCUGGUAGUCCACGCAGUAAACGAUGAUGGCUAACCGCUGGAUCCAUCGGUUCAGUGGCCAAGCGAAAGCGAUAAGCCAUCCACCUGGGGAGUACGACCGCAAGGUUGAAACUCAAAUGAAUUGACGGGG